UACGUCCUACAUUUUUACUCAGGGAAGAUGGUUCUAUGCUUUGUUGGCUUGUCUUGAGAAACCUUUGCUACCUGAGGCUCACUCACUGAUUCGACAGCUUGCCAGAAGGUGUUCUGAAGUGAGGCUCCUGGUGGUGAGUUCUUGUACUAUUUCAGAGUCUGCCUACUAUGGUAGAAAAGAAAACAUAUGAGAUAGAAAAAUGUGGAAUAUGUUAUUAAUUGGGAUUAAAGAGUCUACAGAAACAAAAAAACUGAGAGUACAUUAAAUAGUGAAACCAGAUAUAGUGACACACGACUGUAAUCCCAGCAUCUAGGAGGUAGAAAAAGGAGUAUUGCAGUUCAAGCCCAACCUGGGCUAUAUAUAAAAGACCCUCUGUAAAAAAAAAAAAAAAAA
This 393-nucleotide long non-coding RNA is filed under the name Rattus norvegicus (Norway rat). RNAcentral describes it as "long non-coding RNA NONRATT024304". The record is from RNAcentral. Lineage: Eukaryota; Metazoa; Chordata; Mammalia; Rodentia; Muridae.